UGACAAUUGAUUAGUUAUGUGGGGUGAGGGAGGGGAGGGGCAGAGUCUAGGAUGAGCCUGGAAGAAUUAUGGAUGACCUCAUAGAGGGAAGACUGAAGGAACCCUAGGGUUCCCGGGAAGGGGGUCGGGAGAAGAAAUACGUCGAAUUUGAGAUGCGUAGACGCCAUCGAGGCGCAAAUGGCCCCCGAUUUGGUGAAAAAGAGCCAGUCAUGUGGGCUUGACAGUCAGUCUAUGGAGUCUUCGCUAGAAUGACUGCGUAGAAAUCAUCUGGUGGGAGGGGCCGAGGUCGGGAAGAUCGAAGGGGAUCCGGAGCACAUUUUGGGGAGACAGCCAUGAUUAGGGGAGCAUGAAAUGGAGGAAACAGCAGCACUGUGCAAUGGAAAGAAUGUGGACGGGGCUGUCUCACCUGAUCCUCACAACCACCCUGGGAGGUUUAACUGUUAGUAAUAUACAAAAGGUGGAUGAUUUUUGUGGAUUCAUUUCAUAUUCUACUUUGAUGCUGAUUAAGUAAGCCAUCAUGUCAUCUGCAAAUAGGGCCACGUCCAUCAGACUUGAUCAUCAUAUAGUGUUGUUGUUGAAGUAUAUAAUGAUCUCCUGGUUCUGCUCAUUUCAAGAAAACUUUAUUGAGAGUUUCUAAGUGGCAGGCAAUGUGCCGGCAACUCUGAGCACUCAGUGUAUCUCCAGGGUAAAUGGAAGAGAAUCUUGAGAGGCAGAUGGUGACAUUGGAGCUAGGACUGGAAACAAGCCAGGUAAGCUGGGACACUGACAUCGGUGUCCAAGACUAAGCCAGGUUGACAGUCACAGAAAAUGUCAUCUGAGAAUGGCGUAGCUUCGAGAGGAACACCAAGGGAGGUUGGCCCCGGGUGGAGCAGACAGAGCGUGGAGCAAGGUCACUUGGCAGCAGUUGGAAAGGCUGACUUCAGAAAAGCCUGGAGAGACUUACAUGAAUUGAUGCUGAGUGAAGUGAGCAGAACCAGGAGAACAUCGUACACGGUAACAGCAAGACUGUGUGACAAUCAACCUCGGCGGAAUUGGCUCUUCUCAGAAGUGUGGUGAUCCAAGACAAUUCCAGUUUACUUGGGAUGGAAAAGGCCACCUUGGGGACUGAAUUUGGAUCAAAGCAUACUAUGUAAUUGUUUUUUUCUCAUGGUUUCCCUUUUGAUUUUUCUUUCACAACAUGGAAACAUGUUUAGAAUGAUUGUACAUGUAUAACCUAUGUUAGAUUGCUUGCUAUCUUGGAGAGGGAGAAAAGUUUUUGUAACUCAAAAUCUUAAAGAAGUGAAUGUUGAAAACUAUCUUAACAUGUAAUUGGAAAAUAAAAUACUGUUAAGUAAAAAAAAGUGAGAGUGAGACUAGAUGAGAAUUCAGUAUAAAUUCCUGAAACUUAACUAAAAAUAUCAUUGGCAACAGAAAGUAAAAAAACUGGGAGAGCAAAUAGGAGUUUGAGAGAGAGUAAAAGAAAUUGAGAAAUGCAGGGGAAAGAGAAACAAUGGAAUAGAGAGAAAAUAAGAUGGAGGAGUAUAGAAGAGACAAAGUGAAAGACAAGUAGGGAAUGAGCAAAAGAUUAACAGUAGAAGUAGAGAAAGAAUGAGAGAGACAAACAAAAGCGGAGUGGGGGGAGAGAGAGUAAGAAGUAGUGAGAAAAAGAGGGAGAAUGGGAGGACAAGACAGAAAGAGAGAUGGAGAUAGGGAAUGAGAAAAAGAAUGAGAGGAUGACAAAGAGAAAGAAAACUUAGGAAAACAGUGAUUUUUUUUUAAAAAAAAAAGGACAGAAUGUGAGAGAGCCAUAGAAAUAACAGGAGAGGAAAAAGGAGGAGAGACAGAGAAAGCCCAAAACAGAAUGAAAUAGAAAAUGAGAGUGAUACAGAGAGAGUGAGAAAUGGGAAGAAAAUUAGAGGGAAAGAAAAAUAGUAGAAUAGAGAAAAAAGGGAGAUAGAACAAGAGAAAUAAAAAGAAAGACAGACACAGUGAAAGAGAAUAAAAGAUUGGAGAGGGAAAAGGGGAAAGAGUGGGAUAGGAGAGUGUGUGAGAUUGGAUUAUUAGCUUACAAUUUCUCAAUCCUUACAAAUGAGUGAGUCAAAGAGCAAAUUUUAGGAUGGAUAAUUUCAUUAAAGAUAAUGACAACAAUGAGCCAACAUAUGUGAACUGAUCCAGCCAUUCUUGAAAACAAUUGAGAACUUUGCCCAAAGGGCUAUCAAACUGUGCAUACCCUUUGAUCCAGCAGAGUCACUACUAGAUUUGUAUCCCAAAGAAAUCAUAAAAGAGGGGAUGGGACCCCCGUGUGCAAAAACAGCACCUUUUUCUGUGGUGGCAAAGAAAUGGAAAAUGAGGGGAUGCCCAUUGGUUGGAGAAUGGCUGAAUAAGUGAAUAAGAUAUAUGAUUGUAAUGGAAUAUUAUUGUUCUAUAAAAAAUGAUGAUUUCGGGGAGACUUACCUGAACUGAUGCUGAGUGAAGUAAGCUGAACCAGGACAAUAUUGUACACAGCAACAAGAUUAUGUGAUGAUCAACUAUGAUUGAUUUAGCUCUUCUAAGCAAUGCACUGAUCCAAGACAAUUGUGAAUUCAGAGAGAAUUAUGGAGACUGAAUGUAGAUAGAAGCAUAUUAUUUUCAUCUUUUUCCUUUUUCUUUCUCAUGGUUUUCCCCUUUCAUUCUGAUUUUUCUUUCAUAACAUGACUACUAUGUUUAAAAUGAUUAUACAUGUAUAAAUUAUAUCACAUUGCUUGCUGUCCUGGGGAGGAUAAACGGGAAGGAGAAAAAUAUUUGGAAUGAGACAAUGUACCAAAAUUUAUGUGAAACAGCCAAAAUAGUACCAAAUGGAAAAUUUAUGUUUCUAAAUACUUACAUCAAUAAAAUAGAGAAAGAGAUGGAUGAAAUGCAUAUGCAACUAAAAACUAGCAAAAAAUUAAAAAUCCUGAAAAUCAAAGGAAAGAUUAGUAAAAAUUGAAAACAAUAAAAGCACUUAACUAAUAAAACUAAGAGAUGUAUUCAUGGAAAAAAAACCCAACAAAAUAGAGAAAACAUUGGUUAGUUUGAAUUUUAAAAAGAAGAAAAUCAAAUUACCAGUAUCAAAAAUGAAAAGGGUGAAUUCACCACCACUGAAGAUGAAAUUAAAGCAAUUAUUAGGAGCUAUUUUGCCCAAUUAUAUCAACAAAUCUAACCAUCUAAAUGAUUUUUCUCUCUUUCUCAUCUUUUUCAAGAAUGAAAGAGAAAAAUUGCGAGAAAUAAAUGAGAUUGGAAGAAAUAUGAAAGUGAGAAACAAUAAGGGAGUGAGAGAGAAUGAGAAAAAGAAAAAAGGUGUAUUCUUGAAAGAAGAAAGAAUGGGACAGUGAGGCAAAAAUAAGAGAAAAAAGAAUGGGAGAGAAAAGCAAAGUAAAAAAGAGUGGGAGACAGAGCCAGGGAAAGAGAGAAAGAAAAAUGGAGAGUGAGAGAAAAGAAAAAUAGACAAAGCUUUGGAGACAGGGAAGGGAGCAAAAGAGACAGAAAAAGUGAAGAAAACAGGGAGCAUAAAAUAAAGAGAUAAGGGCAGAGUGAGGAAAAGGGAAAGCAUGAGUCAAAGUGUGGCAGAAAGAAAGAAAAAGAGAUGUUGGUGAAAGAGAAAUUCUGUGAGUGGAAUACAGAGAAAAAAGGAGAGAGGAAGAGAAAGAAGCAGAGAGCAUGAGUGGGAAAAACAAUUAGAAAUUCUCUUAUUUUUAUGCCAACAAAACUGAAGAUAAAAUGAAAUGGGUGAAUAUUUAUAAAAGUAUAAAAUGGAGGAAAUAACAAAUAUAAACAAUCUUAUCUCAGAGAAUCUGAGUAAAUCAUAAAUGAAAUCCAAGGAAAAAUUCCUAGUUUAAUUAUGAAUUAUAUCACACAUUUAAAGAACAGUUAAUCAUUCUGCUAUGUAAGCUGUUCACAAAGUAAUAGAGCAAGAUGCCACCUUUACCAAAUUCCUUCUAUGAGAAAAAUAUGGUCCUGACAAACUAAAUUAGGGAUAAAGCUAAUAAAGAAAAAUACACACCAAUAUCACUAAUUAUUUAGUUAACCAAGCAGGUAUAAUAUAUUAAAAAUUAUUCACUAUGAUCAAUUUAGAUUUAUACCAGAAGUAUAAGGUUGGCUCAGAAAUGCCAUAUAUUUGAAAAACUACGCAUUUAUAACACAUCAUAUUAAUAAAUCACAUAAUCAUUUCAGUUCGGAGGGGAAAAAAAGCCUCGGGGAAAAUAUACUUUUAUUUCUGAUAUCCAGUGAGAAUAUUAAUUAUGUUUUUUUAAUAUCUGUAAAAUCAGGAACUAGUUUUUAUUUGUAACAGAAUAACACCAUAGUCUUUCCCAGUAAGAUAAUACAAGAUUCCUCACUGUCUCUGUUAUUAUUUGAAUACCUUUCUAGAAAUGCUCCUAUAGCACUGACAAUGAAAAGUAGCUCAGGGAGAACAAAUCCAUCAAGGGAGAAGAAUAUCCCUUCUAUUGGCAGAUAAUAUGAUGUUUACUUUAAGAAUUAUGGGGUUUCAGAAAAAACACUCAUCAAAAUGACAGCCCCAGUAAAGUUGUAAGAUAUAAAAUGAAACUACAAGUUGUCACCUUUUGUCUACAUCACUUACAAUCCAAGAGGAAGAGAUGGACAGAAAAACUCUACUAAAUCCUCUGUGAUGCAUUAAAAAAUGGAUUUAAGAGACUGAGACACGGUUAAGAGUGAUCUAAACUCUGCCAUAAAGCACUGCUGAGUGUUUUAUGAGUAAAGUACAUUGGAGAGAGAUUCAUUACUCAUGGUUGGAGCGUGUCAAAAUGUUUUAAAAAAUUGUGAUGACAUUUAAAUUAAUUCAUAAAUUGAGUUUUUUUUUCAAGCAAUAUAUUACCAAGGCGUUCCUGUAUAGGACCAUAUAAGUCAUAAUGAAAGUUCAUUAAUUUCAAGGGAAAUAGUGGGAAAAAAUAAUAAUGAAGGGAGCUUAGCAUUAUCAAAUCUCAGAUGAUAGUAUGAAGCAGUAAUCAUCUAUUUGAAUGGUUUAUAUGGUUUAAGAAAAGGACUAGAGAAAUGGGACUUAGGAGUAAAGGAUACAGUCGUUCAGUGUUUUAUAAACCCAAAGAUAUUGAUAUCAUGGAUAUGGUAGAUAGAAGAGUUCUUGGGAAAUCACAUUGGACUAGCAUUUUAUACCACGUAAUCGUCAUAAGCCUGAAAUGGAUGUAUGACAGUAAUAUAAAAGGUCAUAGCACCAAAAAUUAAGAGUAAAGGUUCCAUAUAUACCAAAAUAUUCCUAAUUUUUUUUCCUUAACAGAAAAUUCUCCAAAUAAAAUUAGUCCUUGUCUCUUAGGAAACGGAUAAACAAAAUGUGAUAUGAAUGUAGUACGAUAUUAUUUAAUGUAAAAAAAAUGACUAUAAAAUUCAGAAACUUGGGCAGACUUGUAUGAACCUUGGGAACAUUAAUGAUAGUAAUUAUAAUUUCAAUAGUACUUUAAAGUUUACAGAAUUCUUUGGAAAUGUGAUCUCACUUUAUCCUCACAACUCUAAAAAGUUUGAAUAGUUAUCAAAAUAGAAAAUGCCCAGAUUCACAGAACAAGAAGUAAAGGGCUGAAAUAACAGUUCAUAAAAAGAAAUGAAACAAGCCAUAAAUGACUUCCAAAAAGGGAGAGAGGACCUUAGACUUUAUAAGUAAAUUUGAUUAUUCAGAAAAAAGAGUCCAUGGUGUUGUUAACCUAAACCAAGAAAAGUAAAAACAGAAAGAAAACUAUGGAUCAAUAUCCCUAAUGAACACGGAUGCAAAACAAGGUGGAAAUGAAGGGAAAAGACCUUAUGUAUAAAAAAGUAUUUAUAGCAGUUCUCUUUGUGGUGACAGAACCAACAAAAUGGAAACUAAGGGCGUGAGAAUGAUUUGGAGAAUGGGUAAACAAACAAUGCUAUUUGAAUGUGCUGUUAUUCAGCCAUUUUUCUGUCAUGUCGGAUUCUCUGUGACCCAGUUUGGGGUUUUCUUGGCAAAGAUACUGAUUGGCCAUUUCCUUCUCCAGCUCAUUUUACAGAUGAGGAAAUUGAGGCAAACAGGGUGAAGUGACUUGCCCAGGCUCACACAGUUAGUGUCUGAGGCUGGGUUUGACCUCAGGUUUACUUGACUCCAGUCCUGGCAUUCUAUCCAUUGCACAAUCUAAGGUGCCUUAUAUGAACACAGUGGAAUAUUACUGUGCAAGAAGAGAUGGCAAAGGGGAUACAUAGGGAAGAUGUGUAUGAACUGAUGCAGAGUGAAGUGAGCAAACCAGUAGAACCAUUUAUACAGUAAUAAUAAUUUUGUAAAGACAAAUUUGAAAGUCUUAAGAAAUUUGAUUAUUACAGUGAAUUACGAUACCAGUAGAACUAUGAUGAAACCUUCUGUCCAUUUUAUGACAGAGAGGUGAUACCUCAAAUUUUGUUUUGUUCAGUUAUGUCUUUAUUGCAAGAAUUUUGCUCUUUCCCCCCCAAAUAGGGUGGGAGAGGAGUAAAGUGGGGAAGAGAGAAAAUAGAUUUAUUUAACUGAAAAAGAACUAAACUUGAUUUUUAAAAAAGGAAACAGUAGGGAAGAUGGAUUGGUUAGGGGGAAAACUCAAAGGAAGACAACCAGUUUGGAGAUUGUUGCAGUAGCGUCUGCCAAAAGAAAGGAGGACCUGAAGAAGGGUGGUUAUAUCAGCACUGGAGGGAAAAGUGGGAGAGAUCUUUUCAAGGUUGAGAGCUUGGUAAUUAAUUGGAUAUGGGGCAGGGCUUAUCAGGAAUGGGUAAGAGUUCAGGUUCUGAGCUUACAAACCCGAGUGACUGUGAAGAUGGUGGUAGUGCUAUGAACAGAAAUCAAAGCCUUAUGGGAAAGCACAGGUUUGGGGAAAGAGGGAAGAUGUUCAAUUUGUGGUGCUGGCCGUAAGGAGCUCUGGGGAAAGAUCAUGGAUGGCUAUGCGGAUGUGAGUGUCAGUACUUAAACUGAAAAGAUGAGCAAAGUAGUUCCCCGAGGGAGAGAAUGGAGGAAGACUUAAGAGGAAAGUCCAGGAGAGAACCUUGCUGCAUAUCUCUAGUUUUAUAAUGGAAGGAGAAUAGAAAGUCAGCACAAGAAAGAAAUGGUCAGAGAGGGAGAAGGAACAUGGAGUACGGGGUAUCACCAGGGAAGAGAUGUUGGUGACUGAGGCCAAUAUACACACCGGCUACUUAUGGCCCAAGAAGGUCAAAGACAAAAAAGAAAAGCUCUGUAUAUCUCUGUAUAUAUAAUACUUGUCUUAUAUAUACUCUCUCUAUUCCCAAUAGCACUUCUGGUAGGACAAAAACUAGAAAUGAAGUGGAUGCCUAGUGGUAGGUGACAAAUUGCUGUCUAAAUUGUGGCAGGUAAAUGGGAGAGGUAUGAAUUAUGGCCCCAAAAUAAGAAGCAGGAGGAAUUCCAAGCAACACAAUCCAGGGCACAUUAGUGCGUGCUAGGGAUACAAAAGCAGAUGAGAUAGUCCUUACCUCCAAGUUAUCUGGAUUCUGUUGAGGAGCUGCAUAUAACCUGUACACAUUCACCAUGACAAUCUAGACUCAAAAUCAAUCCAGGGACUAAGGACUGGGGAAAUCAUCAGGGGAGAGAUCUCUUGAAGGAGAAGGCAUUUGACCUGAACCUUAAAGGGAAGGAAAAGUCCCAAUUACUAGAGGUGAUUCCAGACAUGGGGUGACUUUCACUGUACAGAAGAAUGAAGGUGGAAGGGAGAGGGUCCAGUAAAUCAGCUUGGUUGUAGUGGAGAAUGCUGUGGGAGGAGCAAGAUACAGUCAGUUUGUAGUGUUCCUGACAAUUUUGCAAUUUAUCCCAAAGGCAAUAGCAUCCACCAGGGUUUCUGUACGGAGAUUAGUCCUGUCCUUACUAAUCCAGAUCCCUGCCUCAUAGUUGCCUGACCCCUUCUACAUUUAAGGAAUCAGCAUGGGAUAGUUGAAAGCUUGAACUAGGGUGUCUGUGGUGUGCAUGGAGGGAAGGGGUGGUGGUGGGGGUGACAUUGAUGAAAUUUAAAGUAAUUGGAUAUGAGGAGUGAGUGAACUGAGUGAAGGGCCAAGGAAGACUCCUAGCUUGGAAACCCGGAAAUGAGAAAAUGCUGAAGAUGGCUUGUAAAUUGCCAAACAUGGGAAGACUUGUUGGAACUGAGAAGAAGUGAAGAAAGUUGAACAGAAGAACAUACCCGAUGACUACAAUAAUGUCAACAAAAGCCAGCACUAAAGGACAUUAGAACAUGGAGGAGAUCCGGCACCAGAGGAUGGAACCCAGGACAUCUCAAAGCAGAAAUGGAGACUUCAGAAUUUACCAAGACUGGAAAAAUCAUCAAAUAUGGAAACCUGGUUUCUUCAAUCUACAGAAGAGCUCCAAGAUCUGCAGCCAGGGAAUGGACACCAGCAUGAGAACAUAAGUCCCAGAAAACACCUUUUGUAGCUCCGUGGGCCUGUGGUCGCCAUUAUCAUCAUCAUUGUCGACAUUAUUGUUGUCCUCGUCGUCGUCCUCAUCCUCGUCGUCACUGCUCCAUGCUGUCUGGACCAGAGUGAUCCUUCUUUGUAAUCCAAAGUCAAAUCUACAGAGAAAGCAUGGCCCAUGGUCACAAAGGGACAUUGCUGCUGCUGCUCAACACUGCCAGUGCCAUUAGAAUUCUAAAUUACUUGAGAAUGCCUCAUGGAUUUGGGCAAGUUCUCUUUCGUUUUCCAGUCUAUGAACUCCCCAGAGAUUCAAUCCAGUUGUUCUGGGUUUCCAUUUUCCCUAAAGUGAAGCCUUUACAUCUCGGAAAACUUUGACAGAAAGCUAAGAGCAAGACUCAAGAAUAGAACCCAGCAUUCCUAGCUAUUGCAUCCAGUGUUCAAUCAUAUUAACAAUUUCUUGAAAGAAACACUACUAAAUUAUGAUCAUGGCUGGCCAGCUCAGACAUAUUCUUCAAGUGUAAUUGAUAAAGAAUACUCAGGUGAAUUUGUGGAAGUAGAUCACUGCUUCCUCCUAAUCUUCCCUAGUGCUCCUCUUUUGGGGAACUGUUUUAAUUUGUUUCAGGAGUGGAAGUUCUUGCACCCCCUAAAAAACCCCAAGAUGGUGGAACAGAGAGAACAUUCCAGUGGAACUCUACCAACUUGCCUUUCCAAAAAACUUGAAAAUAUCAAAUAAUCAAAUUCUGAAGUGCCAUACAAAGAAAAAGUUUGUCCAGCUGAAAAAAAUGUUUGAGGUGAGGAGAAGUUUGGGUCACUGGCUCAGAAGGCAAAGGGAAGGGCACUUACUAUGGAUCUUGGAGGACGGGAGGCACAGUGAUAGCUGCAGGAAUAGUUGUCACAUUUCUUAAAGUUUUCACUGCCAAGAAACCAAGUAUUAGACAACUGCUAAAAAGGUGAUUAGGGGCAGCUCUGUGUGGGCACGGUAGACAUUACCAGUUUCACACAAAGGGGGAGAGAGGCCAAUGCCAUCACAAAAAACUGGUGGUAACACCUGGAGCUCCAGAGUGAAGACGAUCACUUGUUAUCACAAGUAAACACAUUCCCUGCUACUGCUCCAGGGUGAAGAGGAGCACCUGCCAGCAUGAUGACAAGGAAGAGGAAGUCCCCCCUGCAGCUACUAGGUGAAGAGACCUUGCUAUAACAAAAAAAGCAAUAGUCCCAGCUGCAUCUCAGGGGUGCAUAGAGGCCUUUCCCAUUACAACAAAGCAGAGGUAUCGGCUGCAGUUCCAGUUUGAAGAAGACCACUUUCCCAUCACAAGUAACCAGAAGUCCCAGCUGUGGGUCCAGGGUGAGGAAGAGCACUUGUCAUCACAAUUAAUCAGAAGUCCCUGCUGCUGCUCCAGGGUGAAGAACAACAGUUGCCACCACAAGUUACCAGAAGUCCCUGAUGCUGCUCCAGGGUGAAGAGGAGCACUUGCCAUCACAAGUAACUAGAAUUCCCUGUAACAAGCUCCAGGGUGAAGAGGAGCACUUGCCAUCACAAGCAAGUAGUGGUCCCAGCUGCAGCCAUGGGACGGAGAGAGGGCUUUGGCAUCACAACAAACCAGAGGUCCCAGUUGCAGCUCCAGUUAGAAGAAAAACACUUUGCAUCACAAGUCACCAGAAUUCCCAGCUGCGGGUCCAGGGUGAAGAAAAGAACUUGCCAUCACAAGUAGCCAGAAGUCCCUGCUGCUGCUCCAGGGGGAAGAGGAGAACUUGCCAUCAAAAUGAAGCAGAGGUCCCAGCUGCAGCUCUGGGGUGGAGAGAGGCCUUUGUCAUCACAACCAAGCAGAGGUCCCAGCUGCAGUUUGCAUUUGAAGAACACUUCCCAUCAUCACAAGAAACCAGAAGUCCCUGCUGCUACUCCAGGGUGAAGAAGAACAAUUGCCAUUACAAGUUACUAGAAGUACCUGCUGCAGCUCCAGGGAGAAGAGGAAGACUUGCCAUCACAAGUAACCAGAAGGCCCAGCUGCAGCUACUGGGUGAAGACCAAUUGCCAUCACAAAAAUGGAAAGAACGCAGCUGAAGCUCCAGGGUAGAGAGAGGCCUUUGCCAUCAAACCCAUGUAGAGGUCUCAGUUACAGCUCCAGGAUACAGAGAGGCCUUUGCCAUCACAACCAAGCAGAGGUACCAGCUGCAGAUCCAGGAUGGAGAGAGGCCUUUGCCAUCACAACCUAGCAGAGUUCUAAGCUGCAGCUCCCGUUGGAAGAAGAAAACUUGCCAUAACAAAUAACGGGAAAUCCCAGCUGCAGGUCCAGUGUGACGAAAAGAAAUUGCCAUCACAAGUUACCAAAAGUCCCUGCUGCUGCUCCACAGUGAAGCGGAAAACUGGCCACCACAAGUAACCAGAAGUCCCUGCUGCAGCUCCAGGGUGAAGAGCAACACUUGCCAUCACAAGUUACCAGAAGUCCUUGAUGCUGCUCCAGGGUGAAGAACAGCAGUUGCCAUCACAAGUUACAAGAAGUCCCUGCUGCUGCUCUAGGGUGAAGAUGAACACUUGCCAUCACAAGUUACCAGAAGUCCCUGCUUCUGCUCCACAAUGAAGAGGAACACUUGCCAUCACAAGUUAGCAGAAAUCUUUCCUGCAGCUACUGGUUGAAGAAGACCAAUUGCCCUAAGAAAAAUGCAGAGGACGCAGCUGCAGCUUAGGGAUGCAGAGAGGCCUUUGCCAUCACAACUAAGCAGAUGUGCAAGCUGCAACUCCCGUUUGAAGAGGAACACUUCCUAUCACCAAUAACUGGAAGUCCCAGGGCAAGGUCCAGUGUGAUGAAAAGAACUUGCUAACACAAGUAACCAGAAGUCCCUGCUGCUGCUCCAGGGUGAAGAGGAACACUUGUCAUCACAAGUAACCAGAAGUCACUGCUGUUGUCCAAGGGUGAAGACGAACACUUGCCAACACAAGUUAACAGAAGUCCCUGCUGCGGCUCCAGGGUGAACAGGACCACUUGCCAUCAAAAGUUACCAGAAGUCCCUGCUGCAGCUCCUUGGUGAAGAGGACCACUUGCCAUCACAAGUUACCAGAAGUCCCUGCUGCAGCUACAGGGUGAACAGGACCACUUGCCAUCAAAAGUUACCAGAAGUCCCUCCUGCAGUUCCAGGGUGAAGAGGAACACUUGCCAUCACAAGUUACCAGAAGUCCUUGAUGCUGCUCCAGGGUGAAGAACAACAGUUGCCAUCACAAGUUACAAGAAGUCCCUGCUGCUUAUCCAGAGUGAAGAUGAACACUUGCCAUCACAAGUUACCAGAAGUCCCGGCAGCAGCUGCAGGGUGAAGAGGAUCACUUGCCAUCAAAAGUUACCAGAAAUCUUUCCUGCAGCUACUGGGUGAAGAAGACCAAUUGCCCUAAGAAAAAUGCAGAGGACUCAGCUGCAGCUUAGGGAUGGAGAGAGGCCUUUACCAUCACAACUAAGCAGAUGUGCAAGCUGCAACUCCCGUUUGAAGAAGAACACUUCGUAUCACCAAUAACUGGAAGUCCCAGCGGCAGGUCCAGUGUGAUGAAAAGAACUUGCCACCACAAGUAACCAGAAGUCCCUGCUGCUGCUCCAGGGUGAAGAGGAACACUUGUCAGCACAACUUACCAGAAAUCCUUGCUGUAGCUCCAGGGUGAAGAAGACCACGUGUGACCACAAGUACCCAGAAGUCCCUGCUGCUGUUCUAGGGUGACGAGGAACACUUAUGACGCCAAGUAACCAGAAGUCCCUGCUGCUGCUCCAGGGUGAAAGGGAACACUUGCCAGCACAACUUACCAGAAGUCCCUGCUGCAGCUCCAGGGUAUAGAGGAACACUUGCCAGGUCAACUUACCAGAAGUCCCUGCUGCUGCUCCAGGGUGAAGAGGAACACUUGCCAGCAUAACUUACCAGAAGUCCCUGCUGCUGCUCCAGGGUGAAGAGGAAUACUUGCCAGCACAACUUACCAGAAGUCCCUUCUGCAGUUCCAGGGUGAAGAGGAACACUUGCCAUCACAAGUUACAAGAAGUCCCUGCUGCUUAUCCAGAGUGAAGAUGAACAUUUGCCAUCACAAGUUACCAGAAGUCCCUGCUGCAGCUCCCGGGUGAAGAGGACCACUUGCCAUCAAAAGUUACCAGAAAUCUGUCCUGCAGCUACUGGGAGAAGAAGACCAGUUGCCCUAAGAAAAAUGCAGAGGAUGCAGCUGCAGCUUAGGGUGUAGAGAGGCCUUUGCCAUCACAACAAAGAAACUGUCUCAGCUGCAGCUCCACGAUGGAGAGAGGCCUUUGCAAUCACAACUACACAGAUGUCCCAGCUGCAGCUUAUGGGUGGAGGGAGGCCUUUGCCAUCACAACUAAGCAGAGGUCUAAGCUGCAGCGCCCAUUUGAAGAAUAACACUUCCUAUCACCAACAACUGUAAGUCACAGUUGCAGGUCCAGUGUGACGAAAAGAACUUUCCACCACAAGUAACCAGAAGUCCCUGCUGCUGCUCCACAGUGAAGAGGAAGACUUGCCAUCACAAGUUAACAGAAGUCCCUGCUGCAGCUCCAGGGUGAAGAGUAACACUUGCCAUCACAAGUUAACAGAAGUCCUUGAUGCUGCUCCAGGGUGAAGAGUAACACUUGCCAUCACAAGUUAACAGAAGUCCUUGAUGCUGCUCCAGGGUGAAGAACAACAGUUGCCAUCACAAGUUAUAAGAAGUCCCUGCUGCUGCUCCAGGGUGAAGAUGAACACUUGCCAUCACAAGUUACCAGAAGUCCCUGCUACAGCUCCAGGGUGAAGAGGAACACUUGCCAUCACAAGUUACCAGAAGUCCCUGCAGCAGCUCCAGGGUGAAGAGGACCACUUGCCAUCACAAGUUACCAGAAGUCCCUGCUGCAGCUACAGGGUGAACAGGACCACUUGCCAUCAAAAGUUACCAGAAAUCUUUCCUGUAGCUACUGGGUGAAGAAGACCAAUUUCCCUAAGAAAAAUGCAGAGGACGCAGCUGCAGCUUAGGGGUGGAGAGAGGUCUUUGCUAUCAAAACAAAGUAGAGGUCUCAUUUAUCGCUCCAGGAGAGAAUGAGCCCUUUGCCAUCAGAACUACGCAGAUGGCCCAAGUGUAGCUUAGAAGUGGAGAGACCCCUUGGCCAUCACAACUAAACAGAGGUCCAAGCUGCAGCAACCGUUUGAAGAAGAACACUUCCUAUCACCAAUAACUUGAUGUCCCAGCUGCAGGUCCAUUGUGACAAAAAGAACUUGCCACCACUAGUAACCAGAAGUCCCUACUACAGCUCCAGGGUGAAGAGGAACAGUUGCCAGCACAACUUACCAGAAGUCCCUGCUACAGCUCCAGGGUGAAGAGGAACACUUGCCAGCACAACUUACCAGAAAGUUGUAGCUCCUUGCUGUAGCUCCAGGGUGAAGAAGACCACGUGUGACCACAAGUACCCAGAAGUGCCUGCUGCUGCUCUGGGGUGACAAGGAACACUUAUGACCCCAAGUAACCAGAAGUCCCUGCUGCCGCUACAGGGUGAAGAGAAACACUUGUCAUCACAAGUAACCAGAAAUCCCUGCUGCUGCCCUAGGCUGAAAAGGAACACUUGCCAACACAACUUACCAGAAGUCCCUGCUGCUGCUCCAGGGUGAAGAGGAAUACUUGCCAGCACAACUUACCAGAAGUCCCUGCUGCUGCUCCAGGGUGAAGAGGAACACUUGUGACCCCAAGUAACCAGAAGUCCCUACUGCCGCUGCUGGGUGAAGAGAAAAACUUGUCAUCACAAGUAAGCAGAAGUCCCUGCUGGAGCUCCAGGGUGAAGAGGACCACUUGCCAUGGAAUGUUAGCAGAAAUCGUUCCUGUAACUACUGGGUGAAGAAGACCAAUUGCCCUAAAAAAAAUGCAUAGGACACAGCUGCAGCUUAGGGUUGAGAGAGGCCUUUGCCAUCACAACUACAUAGAAGUGCCAGCUGCAGCUUAUGGGUGGAAGUAGGCCAUUCCCAUCACAACUAAGCGGAGGUCCAAGCUGUAGCUCCCGUUUGAGGAACACUUCCUAUCUCCAAUAACUGGACGUCCCACCUGUAGGUCCAGUGUGACGAAAAGAAUUUGCCACCACAAGUACCCAGAAUCCCUGCUGCUGCUCAAGGGUGAAGAACAACUGUUGCCAUCACAAGUUACCCUGAAGUCCCUGCUGCCGCUCCAGGGUGAAGAGGAACACUAGUCAACACAAGUAGCCAGAAAUCCCUGCUGCUGCUCCAGGGUGAAGAGAAACACUUUUCAUCACAAGUAACCAGCAAUCCCUGCUGCUGCUCCAGGUUGAAGAGGAACACUUGCCAGCACAACUUAACAGAAGUCCCUACUGCCGCUCCAGGGUGAAGAGGAACACUUGCCAUCACAACUUGCCAGAAGUCCCUUCUGCAUCUCCAGGGUGAAGAGGAACACUUCCCAUCACAAGUUAUUAUAAGUCCCUGUUGCAGCUCCAGGGUGAAGAGGAACACUUGCCAUCACAUGUUGUCAGAAGUCCCUUCUUAAGCUCCAGGGUGAAGAGGAAUAAUUGCGAACAUAAGUACCCCUAAUUCCUGCUGCUGCUCGAGGGCGAAGAACAACUGUUGCCAUCAGAUGUUGCCUGAAGUCCCUGCUGCCGCUCCAGGGUGAAGAGGAACACUUCUGACCACAAGUAACCAAAAGUCCCUGCUGCAGCUCUAGGGUGAAGAAGAACAUUUCUGACCACAAGUAACCAAAAGUCCCUGCUGCAGCUCCAGGGUGAAGAGGAACACUUGCCAUCACAAGUAACGAGAAAUCCCUGCUGCUGCUCCAGGGUGAAGAACAACAGUUGCCAUCACAUGUUGCCAGAAGUCCCUGCUGUUGGUCCAGGUUGACGACGAACACUUUUGAUCACAAGUAACCAGAAGUCCCUGCUGUAGUUCCAGGGUGAAGAGGAACACUUGUGAACAGAAGUACCCAGAAGUCCCUGCUGCUGCUCCAGGGUGAAGACGAACAAUUGUCAUCACAAGUAACCAGAAGUCCCUGCUGCGGCUCCAGGGGGAAGAGGACCACGUGCCAUGAAAUGUUACCAGAAAUCUUUCCUGAAGCUACUGGGUGAAGAAGACCAAAUUCCCUAAGAAAAAUGCAGAAGACACAGCUGCAGCUUAGGGGUGGAGAGAGGCCUUUGAUAUCACAACAAAUCAAAGGUCUCAGUUGCAGCUCUGGGUUGGACUGAGGUCUUUGCUAUCACAACCUAGCAGAGGUCUCAUUUACUGCUCCAGGAUAGAACGAGGCCUUUGCCAUCACAACUACGCAGACGUCCCAACUGCAGCUUAGGGGUGGAGAGAGGCCUUUGCCAUCCCAACCAAGUAAAGGUCCAAGCUGCAGCUCCCCUUUGAAGAAGAACACUUCCUAUCACCAAUAACUAGACGUCCCAGCUGCAUGUCCAGUGUGAGAAAAAGAACUUGCCAACACAAGUAACCAGAAAUCCCUGGUGCUGCUCCAGGGUGAAGAACAACAGUUGCCAUCACAACUUGCCGAAGUCCCUGCUGCUGCUCGAGGGUGAAGACAAACACUUGUCAUCACAAGUAACCAGAGUUCCCUGCUGCAGCUCCAGGGUGAAGACGAACAGUUGUCAUCACAAGUACCCAGAAGUCCCUGCUGCUGCUCCAGGGUGACGAACAAUAGUUGCCAUUAAAAGUUGCCUGAAGUCCCUGCAGCUUUUCCAAGGUGAAGAGGAACUCUUGCCAUCACAAGUUACCAGAAGUCCCGGCUGCUGCUCCAAGGUGAAGAGGACCACGUGCCCUGAAAUCUUUUCUGAAACUACUGGGUGAUGAAGAUUAAAUUCCCUAAGAAAAAUGCAGAAGACACAUCUGCAGCUUACGGGUGGAGAGAGGCCUUUGAUAGCACAACAAAUCAGAGGUCGCAGUUGCACCUCUGGGUUGGACAGAGGUCUUUGCUAUCACAACCUAGCAGAGGUCUCAUUUACCGCUCCAGGAUAGAACGAGGCCUUUGCCAUCACAACUACGCAGACUUCCCAACUCCAGCUUAGGGGUGGAGAGAGGUCUUUGCCAUCACAACUAAGCAGAGGUCCAAGCUGCACCUCCUGUUUGAAGAACACUUCCUAUCACCAAUAACUAAAUGUCCCAGCUGCAGGUCCAGUGUGAAGAAAAGAACUUGCCUCCACAAGUAACAAGAAGUCCCUCCUGCUGCUCCAGGGUGAAAAACAAUAUUUGCCAUCACAAGUUGCCAGAAGUCCCUGCUGCUGCUUCAGGGUGAAGAGGAACACUUGUGACCACAAGUACCCAGAAAUCCCUGCUGCUACUCCAUGGUGAAGAACAACAGUUGCCAUCACAAGUAAUCAGAAGUCCCUGCUGUACCUCCAGGGUGAAGAGGAACACUUGUGAUCACAAGUAACCAAAAGUCCCUCCUGCAGCUCCAAGGUGAAGAGGAACAACUUGCCAUCAAAAGUUACCAGAAGGCCCUGCUGUAGCUCCAGGGUGAAGAGGAAAAGUUGUGACCACAAGUACCCAGAGGUCCCUGCUGCUGCUCCAGGGUGAAGAGGAACACUUGUGACCCCAAGUAACCAGAAGUCCCUGCUGCCGCUACAGGGUGAAGAGAAACACUUGUCAUCACAAGUAACCAGAAAUCCCUGCUGCUGCCCUAGGUUGAAAAGGAACACUUGCCAGCACAACUUACCAGAAGUCCCUGCUGCAGCUCCAGGGUAUAGAGGAACAAUUGCCAGGUCAAUUUACCAGAAGUCCCUGCUGCUGCUCUAGGGUGAAGAGGAACACUUGCCAGCACAACUUACCCGAAGUCCCUGCUGCAGCUCCAGCGUAUAGAGGAACACUUGCCAGGUCAACUUACCAGAAGUCCCUGCUGCUGCUCCAGGGUGAAGAGGAACACUUGUGACCCCAAGUAACCAGAAGUCCCUGAAGCCGCUACAGGGUGAAGAGAAACACUUGUCAUCACAAGUAACCAGAAAUCCCUGCUGCUGCUCCAGGUUGAAGAGGACCACUUGCCAUCAAAUGUUAGCAGAAAUCUUUCCUGUAACUACUGGGUGAAGAAGACCAAUUGCCCUAAGAAAAAUGCAUAGGACAGAGCUGAAGCUUAGGGUUGAGAGAGGCCUUUGCCAUCACAACUACAUAGAUGUGCCAGCUGCAGCUUAUGGGUGGAAGGAGGCCAUUCCCAUCACAACUAAGCAGAGGUCCAAGCUGUAGCUCCUGUUUGAAGAACACUUCCUAUCUCCAAUAACUGGACGUCCCACCUGUAGGUCCAGUUUGACGAAAAGAACUUGCCACCACAAGGAACCAGAAGUCCCUGCUGCAUCUCCAGGGUGACGAGGAAUACUUGUGACCACAAGUACCCAGAAUCCCUGCUGCUGCUCAAGGGCAAAGAACAACUGUUGCCAUCACAAGUUACCCUGAAGUCCCUGCUGCCACUCCAGGGUGAAGAGGAACACUAGUCAACACAAGUAGCCAGAAGUCCCUCCUGCUGCUCCAGGGUGAAGAGGAACACUUGCCAUCACAACUUGCCAGAAGUCCCUGCUGCAGCUCCACGGUGAAGAGGAACACUUGCCAUCACAUGUUGUCAGAAGUCCCUUCUUAAGCUCCAGGGUGAAGAGGAAUAAUUGCGACCAUAAAUACCCCUAAUUCCUGCUACUGCUCGAGGGCAAAGAACAACUGUUGCCAUCACAUGUUGCCUGAAGUCCCUGCUGCCGCUCCAAGGUGAAGAGGAACACUUGUGACCACAAGUACGCAGAAGUCCCUGCUGCUGCACCAGGGUGAAGAAAAACAGUUGCCAUUACAAGUUGCCAGAAGUCCCUGCUGCACCUCCAGGGUGAAGAGGAACACUUGUGACCACAAGUAACCAGAAGUCCUUGCUGCAGCUCCAGGGUGAAGAGGAACACUUGCCAUCACAAGUAACGAGAAAUCCCUGCUGCUGCUCCAGGGUGAAGAACAACAGUUGCCAUCACAUGUUGCCAGAAGUCCCUGCUGCUGGUCCAGGGUGACGACAAACACUUUUGAUCACAAGUAACCAGAAGUCCGUGCAUUAGUUCCAGGGUGAAGAGGAACAUUUGUGAACAGAAGUACCCAGAAGUCCCUGUUGCUGCUCCAGGGUGAAGAAGAACACUUGUGACCACAAGUAUCCCAAAGUCUCUGCUGCUGCUCCAGGGUGAAGACGAACAAUUGUCAUCACAAGUAACCAGAAGUCCCUGCUGUAGCUCCAGGGUGAAGAGGAACACUUGUGACCACAAGUACCCAGAAGUCCCUGCUGCUGCUCCAGGGUGAAGAACAACAGUUGCCAAUACAAGUUGCCUGAAGUCCCUGCUGCUGCUCCAAGGUGAAGAGGACCACGUGCCAUGAAAUGUUACCAGAAAUCUUUCCUGAAGCUACUGGAUGAAGAAGACCAAAUUCCCUAAGAAAAAUGCAGAAGACACAGCUGGAGCUUAGAGGUGUAGAGAGUCCUUUGAUAUCACAACAAAUCAAAGGUCUCAGUUGCAGCUCUUGGUUGGACUGAGGUCUUUGCCAUCACAACCUAGCAGAGGUCUCAUUUACUGCUCCAGGACAAAACGAGGCCUUUGCCAUCACAACUACGCAGACGUCCCAACUGCAGCUUAGGGGUGGAGAGAGGCCUUUGCCAUCCCAACCAAGUAAAGGUCGAAGCUGCAGUUACCCCUUUGAAGAAGAACACUUCCUAUCACCAAUAACUAGACGUCCCAGCUGCAUGUCCAGUGUGACAAAAAGAACUUCCCAACACAAGUAACCAGAAAUCCCUGGUGCUGCUCCAGGGUGAAGAACAACAGUUAACAUAACAUAUAACCAGAAGUCCAUGCUGCUACUCCAUGGUGAAGAACAACAGUUGCCAUCACAAGUUGCCAGAAGUCCCUGCUGCUGCUCGAGGGUGAAGACGAACACUUAUCAUCACAAGUAACCAGAAGUCCCUGCUGCAGCUCCAGGGUGAAGUCGAACAGCUGUAAUCACAAGUACCCAGAAGUCCCUGCUGCUGCUCCAGGGUGACGAACAAUAGUUGCCAUUACAAGUUGCCUGAAGUCCUUGUAGCUUUUCCAACGUGAAGAGGAACUCUUGCUAUCAGAAGUUAGCAGAAGUCCCGGUGGUAGCUCCAAGGUGAUGAGGAACACUUGUCAUCACAAGUACCCAGAAGUCCCUGCUGCUGCUCUAGGGUGAAGAAUAACAGUUUCCAUUACAAGUUGACUAAAGUCCCUGCUGCUGUUCCAAGGUGAAGAGGACCAUGUGCCCUGAAAUCUUUUCUAAAUCUACUAGGUGAUGAAGACUAAAUUCCCUAAGAAAAAUGCAGAAGACACAGCUGCAGCUUACGGGUCGAGAGAGGCCUUUGAUAGCACAACAAAUCAGAGGUCGCAGUUGCACCUCUGGGUUGGACAGAGGUCUUUGCUAUCACAACGUAGCAGAGGUCUCAUUUACCGCUCCAGGAUAGAACGAGGCCUUUGCCAUCACAACUAAGCAGAGGUCCAAGCUGCACCUCCCAUUUGAAGAAUACUUCCUAUCACCAAUAACUAAAUGUCCCAGCUGCAGGUCCAGUGUGAAGAAAAGAACUUGCCUCCACAAGUAACCAAAAGUCCCUCCUGCUGCUCCAGGGUGAAAAACAAUAUUUGCCAUCACAAGUUGCCAGAAAUCCCUGGUGCUACUCCAGGGUGAAGAACAAUAGUUAACAUAACAUGUAACCUGAAGUCCCUGCUGCUGCUUCAGGGUGAAGAGGAACACUUGUGACCACAAGUACCCAGAAAUCCCUGUUGCUACUCCAUGGUUAAGAACAACAGUUACCAUCACAAGUUGCCAGAAGUCCCUGCUGUUGCUCCAGGGUGAAGAGGAACACAUGUGAUCACAAGUAACCAAAAGUCCCUCCUGCAGCUCCCAGGUGAAGAGGAACACUUGCCAUCAAAAGUUACCAGAAGUCCCUGCUGCAGCUCCAGGGUGAAGACGAACAUUUGUCAUCACAAGUAAUCAGAAGUCCCUGCUGUAGCUCCAGGGUGAAGAGGAACACUUGUGAGCAAAAGUACGCAGAAGUCCCUGCUGCUGCUGCAGGGUGAAGAGGAACACUUGUGACCACAAGUAACCAGAAUUCCCUGCUGAUGCUCUAGGGUGAAGAGGAAUACUUGUCAUCACAUGUUACCAGAAGUUCCUGCUGCAGGUCCAGGGUAAAGACGAACACUUGUGACCAUAAGUACCCAGAAGUCCCUGCUGCUGCUCCAGGGUGAAGAACAACAGUUUCCAUUACAAGUUCCCUGAAGUCCCUGCUGCUGCUCCAAGGUGAAGAAGACCACCUGCCAUGAAAUGUUACUAGAAAUCUUACCGGAAGCUACUAGGUGAAUAUGACCAAAUUCCCUAAGAAAAAUGCAGAAGACGCAGCUGCAGCUUAGGGGUGGAGAGAGGCCUUUGCCAUCACAACCAAGCAGAGGUCCAAGCUGCAGCUCCUGUUUGAAGAAGAACCCUUCCUAUCACCAAUAACUGGACAUCACAGCUGCAGGUCCAGUGUAAAGAAAAGAACUUGCCUCCACAAGUAUCGAGAAGUCCCUCCUGCUGCUCCAGGGUGAAGAACAACUGUUGCCAUCAAAAGUUACCAGAAGUCCCUGCUGCAGCUCCAGGGUGAAGACGAACAUUUGUCAUCACAAGUAAUCAGAAGUCCCUGCUGUAGCUCCAGGGUGAAGAGGAACACUUGUGAGCAAAAGUACCCAGAAGUCCCUGCUGCUGCUGCAGGGUGAAGAGGAACACUUGUGACCACAAGUACCCAGAAGUCCCUGCUGCUGCUGCAGGGUGAAGAGGAACACUUGUGACCACAAGUAACCAGAAUUCCCUGCUGACGCUCUAGGGUGAAGAGGAAUACUUGUCAUCACAUGUUACCAGAAGUUCCUGCUGCAGGUCCAGGGUAAAGACGAACACUUGUGACCAUAAGUACCCAGAAGUCCCUGCUGUACCUCCAGGGUGAAGAACAACAGUUUCCAUUACAAGUUCCCUGAAGUCCCUGCUGCUGCUCCAAGGUGAAGAAGACCACCUGCCAUGAAAUGUUACUAGAAAUCUUACCGGAAGCUACUAGGUGAAGACGACCAAAUUCCCUAACAAAAAUGCAGAAGACGCAGCUGCAGCUUAGGGGUGGAGAGAGGCCUUUGCCAUCACAACAAAGCAGAGGUCCAAGCUGCAGCCCCUGUUUGAAGAAGAACCCUUCCUAUCACCAAUAACUGGACAUCACAGCUGCAGGUCCAGUGUAAAGAAAAGAACUUGCCUCCACAAGUAUCGAGAAGUCCCUCCUGCUGCUCCAGAGUGAAGAACAACUGUUGCCAUCACAAUUUGCCAGAAGCCCCUGCUACUGCUCCAGGGUGAAGAGGAACACUUGUGACGACAAGUAACCAGAAGUCCCUGCUGACGCUCUAGGUUGAAGAGGGAUACUUGCCAUCACAAGUUACCAGAUGUCCCUGCUGCAGCUCCAGGGUGAAGAGCAACACUUGCCAUCAAAGGUUACCAGAAAUCUUUCCUGUAGCUACUGGGUGAAGAAGACCAAUUACCCCAAGAAAAAUGCAGAGGACGCAGCUGCAGAUUAAGGGUGGAGAGAGGCCUUUUCUAUCAAAACAAAGCAGAGAUCUCAGCUGCAGCUCCAAGAUGGAGAGAGGCGUUUUCCAUCACAACUACAUAGAUGUCCCAGCUGCAGCUUAAGGAUGGAUGUAGGCCUUUGCUAUCACAACUAAGCAGAAGUCCAAGCUGCACCUCCCGUUUGAAGAAAAACACUUCAUAUUCCCCAUAACUAUACGUCCCAGUUGCAUGUCCAGUGUGACAAAAAGAUCUUGCCACCACAAGUAACCAGAAGUCCCUGGUACUGCUCCAGGGUGAAGAACAACAGUUAACAUAACAUGUAAGCAGAAGUCCCUGCUGCUACUCCAGGGUGAAGAACAACAGUUGUCAUCACAAGUAACCAGAAGUCCCUGCUGCUGCUCCAGGGUGAAGAACAACAGUUACCAUUACAAAUUGCCUGAAGUCCCUGCUGCUGCUCCAAGGUGAGGAGGAACACUUGCCAUCACAAGUUACCAGAAGUCCCUGAUGUAGCUCCAGGGUGAAGAGGAACACUUGUGAUCACAAGUUACCAGAAGUCCCUGCUGCUGCUCCAAGGCGAAGAGGAUGACUUGUGACCACAAGUACCCAGAAAUCCCUGCUGCUGCUCCAGGGUGAAGAACAACAGUUGCCAUUACAAGUUGCCUGAAGUACCUGCUGCUGCUCCCAGGUGAAGAGGAACACUUGCCAUCACAAGGUACCAGAAGUCACAGCUGUAGGUCCAGGGUGAAGAGGAACACUUGUGAUCACAAGUUACCAGAAGUCCCUCCUGCUGCUUCAGCGUGAAGAACAACAGUUUCCAUUACAAGUUGCCUGAAGUCCCUGCUGCUGCUCCAAGGUGAAGAGGACCACGUGCCAUGAAAGGUUACUAGAAAUCUUUCCUGAAGCUAGUGGGUGAAGAAGACCAAAUUCCCUAAGAAAAAUGCAGAAGAUACAGCUGUAGCUUAGGGGUGGAGAGAGAAGGCUUUGAUAUCAUAACAAAUCAGAGGUCUCAGUUGCAGCUCUGGGUUGGACAGAGGUCUUUGCUAUCGCAACCUAGCAGAGGUCUCAUUUACCAUUUCAGGAUAGAACGAGGCCUUUGCCAUCACAACUACGCAGACGUCUCAACUGCAGCUUAGGGGUGGAGAGAGGCCUUUGCCAUCACAACUAAGCACAGGUCUCAGCUGCAGUUCUAGGAAGUAGAGACACCUUUGCCAUCACAACCAAGAAGCUGUCUCAGCUGCAGCUCCAAGAUGGAGAGAGGCCUUUGCCAUCACAACUAAGCAGAAGUCCAAGCUGCACCUCCCGUUUGAAGAAGAACACUUCCUAUCACCAAUAAGUAGAUGUCCCAGCUGCAGGUCCAGUGUGAAGAAAAGAACUUGCCUCCACAAGUAAUGAGAAGUCCCUCCUGCUGCUCCAGGGUGAAAAACAACAUUUGCCAUCAUAAGUUGCCAGAAGUCCCUGCUGUAGCUCCAGGUUGAAGAGGAACACUUGUGACCACAAGUAAACAGAAGUCCCUGCUGCUGCUCCAGGGUGAAGAACAACAGUUGCCAUUACAAGUUGCCUGAAGUCCCUGCUGCUGCUCCAAGGUGAAGAGGAACACUUGCCAUCACAAGUUACCAAAAGUCCCUGCUGUAGCUCCAGGGUGAAGAGGAACACUUGUGAUCACAAGUUACCAGAAGUCCCUGUUGCUGCUCCAGGGUGAAGAGGAACAUUUGUGACCACAAGUAACCAGAAAUCCCUGCUGUAGCUCUAGGGUGAAUAGGACCAUUUGAAAUCAAAAGUUACCAGAUAUCUUUCCUGUAGCUACUUGGUGAAGAAGACGAAUUACCCCAAGAAAAUUGCAGAGGACGCAGCUGCAGAUUAGGGGUUGGAGAGAGGCCUUUGCUAUUAAAACAAAAGACGUCUCAGCUACAGCUCCAGGGAGGAGAGAGGCCUUUGCCAUCAGAAGAAAGCAGAGGUCUUAGCUGCAGUUCCAAGAUGGAGAGAGGCCUUUGCCAUCACACUAAGGAGAGGUCCAAGCAGCAACUCCCAUUUGAAGAAGAACACUUCCUAUCACCAAUAACUCGACAUCCCAGCUCCAUGUCCAGUGUGACAAAAAGAACUUGCCACCACAAGAACCCAGAAUUCCCUGCUCCUGCUCCAGGGUGAAGAACAACAGUUGCCAUCACCAGUUGCCAGAAGUCCCUGCUGCUGCUCCAGGGUGAAGAGGAACACUUGUGAUGACAAGUAACCAGAAGUCCCUACUGACGCUCCAGGGUGAAGAGGAAUACUUGCCAUCACACGUUACAAGAAGUCCCUGCUGUAGUUCCAGGGUGAAGAGGAACAUCUGUGACCACAAGUACCCAGAAGUCCCUGCUGCUGCUCCAGGGUGAAGAGUAACACUUGCUAUCACAACUUACCAGAAGUCCCUGCUGCUGCUCCAGGGUGAAGAACAACAGUUGCCAUUACACGUUGCCUGAUGUCCCUGCUGCAGCUCCAGGGUGAAGGGCAACACUUGCCAUCACAAGUUACCAGAAGUCCCUGCUGCAGCUCCAGGGUGAAGAGGAACACUUGUCAUCAAAAGUAUCCAGAAGUCCCUGCUGCUGCUCCAGGGUGAAGAGGAACACUUGUGACCACAAGUACCCAGAAGUCCCUGCUGCAGCUCCAGGGUGAAGAAUAACAGUUUCCAUUACAAGUUGACUAAAGUCCCUGCUGCUGCUCCAAGGUGAAGAGGACCACGUGCCAUGAAAUGUUGCCAGAAAUCUUUCCUGAAGUUACUGGGUGAAGAAGACCAAUUUCCCUAAGAAAAAUGCAGAAGAAAUAGCUGCAGGUUAGGGGUGGAGAGAGACCUUUGAUAUCACAACAAAUCAGAGGUCUCAGUUGCAGCUCUGGGUUGGACAGAGGUCUUUGCUAUCACAACCUAGCAUAGGUCUCAUUUGCUGCUCUAGGAAAGAAUGAGGCCUUUGCCAUCACAACUACUGAGACGUCCCAACUGCAGCUUAGGGGUGGAGAGAGGCCUUUGCCAUCACAACCAAGCAGAGGUCCAAGCUGCAGCUCCCGUUUGAAGAAGAACACUUACUAUCACCAAUAAAUGGACAUCAUAGCUGCGGGUCCAGUGUAAAGAAAAGUACUUGCCUCCAAAAGUAACCAGAAGUCCCUCCUGCUGCUCUAGGGUGAAGAACAACAGUUGCCAUCACCAGUUGCCAGAAGUCCCUGCUGCUGCUCCAGGGUGAAGAGGAACACUUGUGAUGACAAGUAACCAGAAGUCCCUACUGACGCUCCAGGGUGAAGAGGAAUACUUGCCAUCACAUGUUACCAGAUGUCCCUGCUGCAGCUCCAGGGUGAAGUGCAACACUUGCCAUCACAAGUUACCAGAAGUCCCUGCUGUAGCUCCAGGGUGAAGAGGAACAGUUGCCGUCACAAGUUACCAGAAGUCCCUGCUGCAGCUCCAGGGUGAAGAGCAACACUUGCCAUCACAAGUUCCCAGAAGUCCCUGCUGCAGCUCCAGGGUGAAGAGCAACACUUGCCAUCACAAGUUACCAGAAGUCCCUGCUGUAGCUCCAGGGUGAAGAGGAACACUUGCGCUCACAAGUUACCAGAAGUCCCUGCUGCUGCUGUAGGGUGAAGAAUAACAGUUGCCAUCACAAGUUGCCAGAAGUCCCUGCUGCUGCUGUAGGGUGAAGAAUAACAGUUGCCAUUACAAGUUGACUAUAGUCCUUGCUGCUGCUCCAAGGUGAAGAGGACCAGGUGCUAUGAAAUGUUACCAGAAAUCUUUACUGAAGCUAGUGGGUGAAGAAGACCAAUUUCCCUAAGAAAAAUGCAGAAGACACAGCUGCAGCUUAGGGGUGGAGAGAGGCCUUUGAUAUCACAACAAAUCAGAGGUCUCAGUUGCAGCGCUGGGUUGGACAGAGGUCUCUGCUAUCACACCCUAGCAGAGGUCUCAUAUACCGCUCCUGGACAGAACGAGGCCUUUGCCAUCACAACUACGCAGACGUCCCAAAUGGAACUUAGGGUUGGAAAGAGGCCUUUGCCAUCAAAACCAAGCAGAAGUACAAGCUGUACCUCCCGUUUGAAGAAGAACACUUCCUAUCACCAAUAACUGAACAUCACAGCUGCAGGUCCAAUGUGAAGAAAAGAACUUGCCUCCACAAGUAACCAGAAGUCCCUCCUCCUGCUCUAGGGUGAAGAACACCAGUUGCCAUCACAAUUUGCCACAAGUCCCUGCGGCUGCUCCAGGGUGAAGAACACUUGUGGUGACAAGUAACCAGAAGUUCCUGCUGAGGCUCCAGGGUGAAGAGGAACACUUGUGACCACAAGUACCCAGAAGUCCCUGCUGCUGCUCCAGGGUGAAGAACAACAGUUGCCAUUACAAGUUACCAGAAGUCCCUGCUGUAGCUCCAGGGUGAAGAGGAACACUUGUGACCACAAGUACCAGAAGUCCCUGCUGCUGCUCCAGGGUGAAGAAUAACAGUUUCCAUUACAAGUUGACUAAAGUCCCUGCUGCUGCUACAAGGUGAAGAGGACCACGUGCCAUGAAAUGUUGCCAGAAAUCUUUCUUGAAGCUAGUAGGUGAAGAAGACCAAUUUUGCUAAGAAAAAUGCAGAAGACACAGCUGCAGCUUAGGGGUGGAGAGAGGCCUUUGAUAUCACAACAAAUCAGAGGUCUCUGUUGCAGCGCUGGGUUGGACAGAGGUCUUUGCUAUCACACCCUAGCAGAGGUCUCAUAUACCGCUCCAAGAUAGAACGAGGCCUUUGCCAUCACAACUACGCAGACGUCCCAACUGCAGCUUAGGGGUGGAGAGAGGCCUCCAUCACAACCAAGCAGAAGUACAAGCUGCACCUCCCGCUUGAAGAAGAACACUUCCUAUCACCAAUAACUGAACAUCACAGCUGCAGGUCCAGUGUGAAGAAAAGAACUUGCCUCCACAAGUAACCAGAAGUCCCUCCUCCUGCUCUAGGGUGAAGAACACCAGUUCCCAUCACAAUUUGCCAGAAGUCCCUGCGGCUGCUCCAGGGUGAAGAACACUUGUGGCGACAAGUAAACAGAAGUUCCUGCUGACGCUCCAGGGUGAAGAGCAACAGUUGCCAUUACAAGUUACCAGAAGUCCCUGCUGUAGCUCCAGCGUAAAGAGGAACACUUGUGAUCACAAGUACCCAGAAGUCCCUGCUGUAGCUCCAGCGUGAAGAGGAACACUUGUGACCACAAGUACCCAGAAGUCCCUGCUGCUGCUCCAGGGUGAAGAACAACAGUUGCCAUUACAAGUUGCCUGAUGUACAUGCUGCUGCUCCAAGGUGAAGAGGAACACUUGCCAUCACAAGUUACCAGAAGUCCCUGCUGUAGCUCCAGGGUGAAGAGGAACACUUGUGAUCACAAGUUACCAGAAGUCCCUGCUGUAGCUCCAGGGUGAAGAGGAACACUUGUGAUCACAAAUUACCAGAAGUCCCUGCUGCUCCUCUAGGGUGAAGAAUAACAGUUUCCAUUACAAGUUGACUAAAGUCCCUGCUGUUGCUCCAAGGUGAAGAGGUCCAAGUGCCAUGAAAUGUUGCCAGAAAUCUUUCCUGAAGAUACUGGGUGAAGAAGACCAAUUUCCCUAAGAAAAAUGCAGAAGACAUAGCUGCAGAUUAGUGGUGGAGAGAGGCCUUUGAUAUCACAACAAAUCAGAGGUCUCAGUUGCAGCUCUGGGUUGGACAGAGGUCUUUGCUAUCACAACCUAGCAUAGGUCUCAUUUACCGCUCCAGGAAAGAAUGAGGCCUUUGCCAUCACAACUACGCAGACGUCCCAACUGCAGCUUAGGGGUCGAGAGAGGCCUUUGCCAUCACAACCAAGCAGAGGUCCAAGCUGCAGCUCCCGUUUGAAGAAGAACACUUCCUAUCACCAAUAAGUGGACAUCACAGCUGCGGGUCCAGUGUGAAGAAAAGCACUUGCCUCCAAAAGUAACCAGACGUCCCUCCUGCUGCUCUAGGGUGAAGAACAACAGUUGCCAUCACAAGUUACCAGAAGUCCCUGCUGCUGCUCUAGGGUGAAGAAUAACAGUUUCCAUUACAAGUUGACUAAAGUCCCUGCUGCUGUUCCAAGGUGAAGAGGACCAAGUGCCAUGAAAUGUUUCUAGAAAUCUUUCCUGAAGCUACUGGGUGAAGAAGACCAAUUUCCGUAAGAAAAAUGCAGAAGACACAGCUGCAGCUUAGUGGUGGAGAGAGGCCUUUGCCAGUACAACCAAGCAGAGGUCCAAGCUGCAGCUCCCGUUUGAAGAAGAACACUUAAUAUGACCAAUAACUGGACAUCACAGCUGCGGGUCCAGUGUGAAGAAAAGCACUUGCCUCCAAAAGUAACCAGAAGUCCCUCCUGCUGCUCUAGGGUGAAGAACAACAGUUGCCAUCACAAGUUGUCAGAAGUCCCUGCUGCAGCUCCACGGUGAAGAGCAACACUUGCCAUCACAAGUUACCAGAAGUCCCUGCUGUAGCUCCAGGGUGAAGAGGAACACUUGUGAUCACAAGUUACCAGAAGUCCCUGCUGCUGCUCCAGGGUGAAGAACAACAGUUUCCAUUACAAGUUGCCUAAAGUCCCUGCUGCUGCUCCAAGGUGAAGAGGACCACGUGCCAUGAAAUGUUACCAGAAAUCUUUCCUGAAGCUACUGGGUGAAGAAGACCAAUUUCGCUAAGAAAAAUGCAGAAGACACAGCUGCAGCUUAGGGGUGGAGAGAGGCCUUUGAUAUCAUAACAAAUCAGAGGUCUCAGUUGCAGCUCUGGGUUGGACAGAGGUCUUUGCUAUCACAACCUAGCAGAGGUGUCAUAUACCGCUCCAGGAUAGAAUGAGGCCUUUGCCAUCACAACUACGCAGACGUCCCAACUGCAGCUUAGGGGUGGAGAGAGGCCUUUGCCAUCACAACCAUGCAGAGGUCCAAGCUGCAGCUCCCGUUUGAAGAAGAACACUUAAUAUCACCAAUAACUGGACAUCACAGCUGCGGGUCCAGUGUGAAGAAAAGCACUUGCCUCCAAAAGUAACCAGAAGUCCCUCCUGCUGCUCUAGGGUGAAGAACAACAGUUGCCAUCACAAGUUGCCAGAAGUCCCUGCUGCUGCUCCAGGGUGAAGAGGAACACUUGUGAUGACAAGUAACCAGAAGUCCCUGCUGACGCUCCAGGGUGAAGAGGAAUACUUGCCAUCACAAGUUACCAGAAGUCCCUGCUGCAGCUCCAGGGUGAAGAGCAACACUUGCCAUCACAAGUUAACAGAAGUCCCUGCUGCAGCUCCAGGGUGAAGAGCAACACUUGCCAUCACAAGUUACCAGAAGUCCCUGCUGCUGCUCUAGGGUGAAGAAUAACAGUUUCCAUUACAAGUUGCCUAAAGUCCCUGCUGCUGCUCCAAGGUGAAGAGGACCACGUGCCAUGAAAUGUUUCUAGAAAUCUUUCCUGAAGCUACUGGGUGAAGAAGACCAAUUUCCCUAAGAAAAAUGCAGAAGACACAGCUGCAGCUUAGUGGUGGAGAGAGGCCUUUGCCAGUACAACCAAACAGAGGUCCAAGCUGCAGCUCCCGUUUGAAGAAGAACACUUCCUAUCACCAAUAAGUGGACAUCACAGCUGCAGUUCCAGUGUGAAGAAAAGCACUUGCCUCCAAAAGUAACCAGAAGUCCCUCCUGCUGCUCCAGGGUGAAGAACAACAGUUGCCAUCACAAGUUGGCAGAAGUCCUUGCUGCUGCUCCAGGGUGAAGAGGAACACUUGUGAUGACAAGUAACCAGAAGUCCCUGCUGACGCUCCAGGGUGAAGAGGAAUACUUGCCAUCACAAGUUACCAGAAGUCCCUGCUGUAGCUCCAGGGUGAAGAGGAACACUUGUGAUCACAAGUUACCAGAAGUCCCUGCUGCUGCUCCAGGGUGAAGAACAACAGUUUACAUUAUAAGUUGCCUAAAGUCCCUGCUGCUGCACCAAGGUGAAGAGGACCACGUGCCAUGAAAUGUUACUAGAAAUCUUUCCUGAAGCUAAUGGGUGAAGAAGACCAAUUUCGCUAAGAAAAAUGCAGAAGACACAGCUGCAGCUUAGGGGUGGAGAGAGGCCUUUGAUAUCAUAACAAAUCAGAGGUCUCAGUUGCAGCUCUGGGUUGGUCAGAGGUCUUUGCUAUCACAACCUAGCAGAGGUGCCAUAUACCGCUCCAGGAUAGAAUGAGGCCUUUGCCAUCACAACCAAGCUGAGGUCCAAGCUGCAGCUCCCGUUUGAAGAAGAACACUUAAUAUCACCAAUACCUGGACAUCACAGCUGCGGGUCCAGUGCGAAGAAAAGCACUUGCCUCCAAAAGUAACCAGAAGUCCCUCCUGCUGCUCUAGGGUGAAGAACAACAGUUGCCAUUACAAGUUGCCAGAAGUCACUGCUGCUGCUCCAGGGUGAAGAGGAACACUUGUGAUGACAAGUAACCAGAAGUCCCUGCUGACGCUCCAGGGUGAAGAGGAACACUUGCCAUCACAAGUUACCAGAAGUCCCUGCUGCAGUUCCAGGGUGAAGAGCAACACUUGCCAUCAAUAGUUACCAGAAGUCCCUGCUGUAGCUCCAGGGUGAAGAGGAACACAUGUGAUCACAAGUUACCAGAAGUCCCUGCUGCUGCUCUAGGGUGAAGAAUAACAGUUUCCAUUACAAGUUGACUAAAGUCCCUGCUGCUGUUCCAAGGUGAAGAGGACCACGUGCCAUGAAAUGUUUCUAGAAAUCUUUCCUGAAGCUACUGGGUGAAGAAGACCAAUUUCCCUAAGAAAAAUGCAGAAGACACAGCUGCAGCUUAGUGGUGGAGAGAGGCCUUUGCCAGUACAACCAAGCAGAGGCCCAAGCUGCAGCUCCCGUUUGAAGAAGAACACUUCCUAUCACCAAUACGUGGACAUCACAGCUGCAGUUCCAGUGUGAAGAAAAGCACGUGCCUCCAAAAGUAACCAGAAGUCCCUCCUGCUGCUCUAGGGUGAAGAACAACAGUUGCCAUCACAAGUUCCCAGAAGUCCCUGCUGCAGCUCCAGGGUGAAGAGCAACACUUGCCAUCACAAGUUACCGGAAGUCCCUGCUGUAGCUCCAGGGUGAAGAGGAACACUUGUGAUCACAAGUUACCAGAAGUCCCUGCUGCUACUCCAGGGUUAAGAACAAAAGUUGCCAUCACAAGUUGCCAGAAGUCCCUGCUGCUGCUCCAGGGUGAAGAACAACAGUUCCCAUGACAAGUUGCCAGAAGUCCCUGCUGUUGCUCCAGGGUGAAGAGGAACACUUGUGACCACAAGCAACUAGAAGUCCCUGCUGACGCUCCAGUGUGAAGAGGAAUACUUGCUAUCACAAGAUACCAGAAGUUCCUGCUGCAGCUCCAGGGUGAAGAGGAACACUUGUCAUCAAAAGUAUCCAGAAGUCCCUGCUGUAGCUCCAGGGUGAAGAGGAACACUUGUUAUCACAAGUACCCAGAAGUCCCUGCUGCCGCUCCAGGUUGAAGAGCAAGACUUGUCAUCCUAAGUUGCCAGAAGUCCCUGCUGUAGCUCCAGGGUGAAUAGGACCAUUUGCCAUCAAAAGUUACCAGAAAUCUUUCCUGUAGCUACCGGGUGAUGAAGACCAAUUACCCCAAGAAAAAUGCAGUGGACCCAGCUGCAGAUUAGGGGGGGAGAGAGGCCUUUUCUAUCAAAACAAAGCAGAGGUCUCAGCUACAGCUCAGUGGUGGAGAGAGGCCUUUGCUAUCAGAAGAAAGCAGAGGUCUCAGCUGCAGUUCCAGGAUGCAGAGACAAAUUUUCCAUCACAACCAAGCAGCUGUCUCAGCUGCAGCUCCAAGAUGGAGAGAGGCCUUUGCCAUCACAACCAAGCAGAGGUCCAAGCUGCAGCUCCCAUUUGAAGAAGAACACUUACUAUCACCAAUAACUGGACAUCACAGCUGCAGGUCCAGUGUGAAGAAAAGCACUUGCCUCCAAAAGUAACCAGAAGUCCCUCCUGCUGCUCUAGGGUGAAGAAUAACAGUUGCCAUCACAAGUUGCCAGAAGUCCCUGCUGCUGCUCCAGGGUGAAGAGGAACACUUGUGAUGACAAGUAACCAGAAGUCCCUGCUGACGCUCCAGGGUGAAGAGGAAUACUUGCCAUCACAAGUUACCAGAAGUCCCUGCUGCAGCUCCAGGGUGAAGAGCAACACUUGCCAUCACAAGUUACCAGAAGUCCCUGCUGUACCUCCAGGGUGAAGAACAACAGUUUACAUUACAAGUUGCCUAAAGUCCCUGCUUCUGCACCAAGGUGAAGAGGACCACGUGCCAUGAAAUGUUACCAGAAAUCUUUCCUGAACAUAAUGGGUGAAGAGGACCACGUGCCAUGAAAUGUUACCAGAAAUCUUUCCUGAAGCUAAUGGGUGAAGAAGACCAAUUUCCCUAAGAAAAAUGCAGAAGACACAGCUGCAGCUUAGGGGUGGAGAGAGGCCUUUGAUAUCAUAACAAAUCAGAGGUCUCAGUUGCAUCUCUGGGUUGGACAGAGGUCUUUGCUAUCACAACCUAGCAGAGGUGUCAUAUACCGCUCCAGGAUAGAAUGAGGCCUUUGCCAUCACAACUACGCAGACGUCCCAACUGCAGCUUAGGGGUGGAGAGAGGCCUUUGCCAUCACAACCAAGCAGAGGUCCAAGCUGCAGCUCCCGUUUGAAGAAGAACACUUCCUAUCACCAAUAAGUGGACCUCACAGCUGCAGGUCCAGUGUGAAAAAAAGCACUUGCCUCCAAAAGUAACCAGAAGUCCCUUCUGCUGCUCUAGGGUGAAGAACAACAGUUGCCAUCACAAGUUGCAAGAAGUCCCUGCUGCUGCUCCAGGGUGAAGGGGAAAACUUUUGACCACAAAUACCCAGAAGUCCCUGCUGCUGCUCCAGGGUGAAGAGGAACACUUGCCAUCACAAGUUACCAGGAGUCCCUGCUGCAUCUCCAGGGUGAAGAGGAACAGUUGCCAUCACAAGUUACCAGAAGUCCCUGCUGCUACUCCAGGGUGAAGAACAACAGUUGCCCUCACAAUUUGCCAGAAGUCCCUGCUGCCGCUCCAGGGUGAAGAGGAACACUUGUGACCACAAGGACCCAGAAGUCCCUGCUGCUGCUCCUAGGUGAAGAGCAACACUUGCCAUCACAAGUUACCAGAAGUCCCUGCUGCUGCUCCAGGGUGAAGAGGAACACUUGCCAUCACAAGUUACCAGAAGUCCCUGCUGCUGCUCCAGGGUGAAGAACAAUAGUUGCCAUUACAAGGUGCCAGAAGUCCCUGCUGACGCUCCAGUGUGAAGAGGAAUACUUGCCAUCACAAGAUACCAGAAGUUCCUGCUGCAGCUCCAGGGUGAAGAGGAACAGUUGCCAUCACAAGUUACCAGAAGUCCCUGCUGCUACUCCAGGGUGAAGAACAACAGUUGCCCUCACAAUUUGCCAGAAGUCCCUGCUGCUGCUCCAGGGUGAAGAGGAACACUUGUGACCACAAGGACCCAGAAGUCCCUGCUGCUGCUCCUAGGUGAAGAGGAACACUUGCCAUCAGAAGUUACCAGAAGUCCCUGUUGCUGCUCCAGGGUGAAGAACAAUAGUUGCCAUUACAAGUUGCCAGAAGUCCCUGCUGCUGCUCCAAGGUGAAGAGGAACACUUGCCAUCACAAGUUACCAGAAGUCCCUGCUGCUGCUCCAGGGUGAAGAACAAUAGUUGCCAUUACAAGGUGCCAGAAGUCCCUGCUGACGCUCCAGUGUGAAGAGGAAUACUUGCCAUCACAAGAUACCAGCAGUUCCUGCUGCAGCUCCAGGGUGAAGACGAACACUUGUCAUCACAAGUAACCAGAAGUCCCUGCUGUAGCUCCAGGGUGAAGAGGAACACUUGUGAUCCCAAGUUACCAGAAGUCCCUGCUGCAGCUCCUGGCUGAAGAGGUACACAUUUCACCACAAGUAACCAGAAGUCCCUGUAGCAGCUCCAGGGUGAAGACGAACACUUGCCAUCACAAGUAAGCAGAAGUCCCUCCUGCAGCUCCAGGGUGAAGAACAACAGUUGCCAUCACAAAUUACUUGAAGUUCCUGCUGCAGGUCCAGGGUGAAGAGGAACACUUGCCAUCACACUUUACUCGAAGUCCCGGCCAUUGCUCCAGGGUGAAGAGGAAAACUUGCCAUCACAAGUAACCAGAAUUUCCUGAUGCCACUCGAGGGUGAAGAGGUGCCAUCAAAAAUUACGAGAAGUCCCUGCUGCUGUUCCAGGGGUAAAUAAGAGCAGUCCCAUCACACGUAACCAGAAUUCCCUGCUAUAGUGACAGGGUGAAGAGGAACACUUGCCAUCACACUUUACUCGACGUCCCGGCUAUUGCUCCAGGGUGAAGAGGAAAACUUGCCAUCACAAGUAACCAGAAUUUUCUGAUGCCACUCGAGGGUGAAGAGGUGCAGUUGCCAUCAAAAGUUACGAGAAGUCCCUGCUGCUGUUCCAGGGUGAUAUUCAUCUGGUAAACAUGGAAAGAAGCUGCUGUCCAAGUAAUUGAUGGUUUGAACCUGCUGUACCAAAGUUUUUUUCUAUGGAUCUCAACUUCGCCUUUGGAGUUCACUUUGAACUGCUUUUGAUUCAAUUCAUACGGACACCAGUUGUCAUUUUCACAUUGUCCUUCUCUGAUGUUUGAAAAGAUUGAAGGCAAAAGGAGAAGAGGAUGGCAGGAGGUGACAAAGAUGAGAGAGUGUCAUGGAAGGAGCAAACGUGAACUUGGACAGACUUUGUAAGAUAGCAGACAGAAGGGCCUGGUAUGCUAAGGUCUCUGGGGUCACAAAUCUUCAACGUUCAAAAUACCGGAGCCCAUAAAGUGAAUCAGAAGCAGGACAAACAGACAUCGGAUAACAAGACAGGGAUACACGAAGGAAGUGGGACUCAGAUGAGGACGUAUACAAUGGACGGGAACAAAGAAGACCCAAAGACAAGGAAUAUCCCAGAACAAUGAGAAUCCAUGACAUCUGCCCACCACAAUCUGUCCUGCCAUUCUCAAGACCAUGUGGCUUUCCUUCCCCUGCUUUGCUACCACAAGGAUGGAUACAGAACUUCCCACAACAAACACUGACAUCAUAUGGAGGAACCCGGUUUAUCUUCUUCUACGAUGGCAGAGUCAACUCUACAAAUGUACAUAGAAUAUAAGAGGGCCAAAAAGGAAUGGAAGGAAAGGAAAGGAAAGAGGAAAAAAAGGGAAGAGGAGGAAAAGGAAAUAAGCAUUUAUUAAGAACCUACUAUGUGUCAGGCACUGUGAUAAGCACUUUACUAAUAUUAUCUUAUUAAGUGUGAGGUAAGUGCUCCUAUUAUUCUCACUUCAAAAUGAAGAAACUGAGGCAGAGCAGACUAUUAGUUGUCACAUAGCUUAGGAAACCAAAGAUGGCACAGAUUUGAAGAGGCAGGGAAUAAUGAAUGUCCCAAACAAAAAUGGAAGGAACUAACAGAGGAGGGAACAACAGAGUGACAGAAGGAUGGAUGGGGUGAGUGUGAAAAUGUGAGAAAGAUGGAUGGGUUUCGAGUUCGAUUUCUAGCUAUCAAUUCUUGUACACUGAGGCAGGUUUGAAAGGUGAAGCAUGAAAAGCUUGGAAAACUGAGAUAGCCGGGAGAGUAUGAAAGUAGAGAUGUUGUGAUUUAGCUGUGCAGCGUUCAGAAUGAAUCACUCAGUAAGAGACAGAUGAGUAGGCCUAUGUAUAUGUGAUGUUUGGAUGCAAGGAAAGAACACUUGAGUGAGCGAUCGGUGGGUUCAUUGUUGUACUAAGUGGGAGUCGGGUGCAUUAUGAAAGCUAUCAGCAGAGUGGUGGAUGAAUGAGUAUACCUGGACUAUGGGAGAAUGAAUGGAGAAAAGGCAGAAGAGGAGAAUGUGUUUUGAAAGGCAGAAAGGGGUGAAAGGGGUUCAUUCAUGAGAAAGAGAAAAAGCUGAAAAAGGAUAGAACCAAACCCUGAUGGGGGAGGGAAUGUGAUGUGAAAUUGCCAAACUGAGAAGUGGCCAGGAAGAGCAGAAUGAUGGGAGAGAAUUAAUUCUGCGACAUUUCUAGUGCUCCCGUGUGUGAGAUACCAGUGAAUUUAGAGACUGAUUACUGAUGUUUGGCUGUUUAGAAUGACUGCCGGUGUGAGGGACAAAUGGAGGAGCUGAUGUAAAAAGUGAGAGUUGUAUGCAGAAAGAAAGUGGUAGAAGAGAAGAUCUACCUAGACUGAGAGAGAUGAAUUAAAGUAGAAACUUCAGCAUUGAGACACUAAUGGGAAUUGAAAUUUAAGAAGGGUUCAUAUGCAGACUCUUCCUCAUGCUCUCUGCCACAGAUCUGGACCCUCUGCCCCUUAAUCAUGUGCCACCACUUUGGAAAAGAUCAGAAAAGCUGCAAAAAAUUGAGGGGAGCCCAAGAAAAUGGUGUCUCCCCUGAAGUCAAAAGGAGACCCUGAGGGUGGGACCAUGUCAGAAGAUGAAAAAGAAACCAGAGCAAGAGAGCUUACAGUCCCUCAGAAGAAUAGGAAAAGACCGUGGCUACCCUAGCAAAGGUCCCAGCGGCCACAAAAGCCACCGCUCCUGCAACAAAGUGCCUGGGAUAUUUUCUAAGAAGGCCUCCGGCAAGAAAGGGCCACCCCGGCCAAAGCUGAUGUCAUCCUAACAGAAGCGGGAGCCCCCCCCCCCGAGCCACCCACCCAUGAGCAAAGGGGCCCCCAGGAAGUUAAGAAAGAAGAUGGUGACUCUGAAGAAGACAGUGAAGAUGAGAAGAGAGAACCUGGGCCACCCAGAGCUACAAAAGUGGGAGCAGCUCUAGCCAAAUACACUUAGAUGGUGGUAAUGGAGGAGGAAGAAGAAGAAAUGAAGGAGGAGGAGGAGGGUGGGGAAGAAGAAACAAAGGAAGAAGAAAUGGCGGCGGUGGAGGAGGAGGAGGGUGGGGAAGAAGAAACGAAGGAA
RNAcentral lists this long non-coding RNA (36678 nucleotides) under Sarcophilus harrisii (Tasmanian devil). RNAcentral's name for it is "lncRNA (ENSSHAG00000030664.1)". Lineage: Eukaryota; Metazoa; Chordata; Mammalia; Dasyuromorphia; Dasyuridae. The record is from RNAcentral.